GGCUGUGGCUCAGUGGUAGAGUGCUUGCCUGACAUGUAUGAGGCACUGAGUUCGAUUCUUAGCACCG
This 67-nucleotide transfer RNA is filed under the name Marmota monax (woodchuck). RNAcentral's name for it is "tRNA.Val". It matches the Rfam family "tRNA", at positions 6 to 65 of the family's 71-position model. From Rfam's summary of the family: Transfer RNA (tRNA) molecules are approximately 80 nucleotides in length. The record is from RNAcentral. Lineage: Eukaryota; Metazoa; Chordata; Mammalia; Rodentia; Sciuridae.